CAUGUUAGCAUCUUAUAUCCAGUGUGUAUAGCUCUAUCAGGGGGAUAUUCAGCUGGCCCAUGUUAGCAUGUUAGCAUGUUAUAUCCAGUGUGUAUAGCUCUAUCAGGGGGAUAUUCAGCUGGCCCAUGUUAGCAUGUUAUAUCCAGUGUGUUUAGCUCUAUCAGGGGGAUAUUCAGCUGGCCCAUGUUAGCAUGUUAGCAUGUUAUAUACAGUGUGUUUAGCUCUAUCAGGGGGAUAUUCAGCUGGCCCAUGUUAGCAUGUUAACAUGUUAUAUCUAGUGUGUAUAGCUCUAUUAGGGAGGAAUAUCCAGCUGGCCCAUGUUAGCAUGUUAGCAUGUUAUAUCCAGUGUGUAUAGCUCUAUUAGGGGGAAUAUCCAGCUGGCCCAUGUUAGCAUGUUAGCAUGUUAUAUCCAGUGUGUAUAGCUCUAUUAGGGGGAAUAUCCAGCUGGCCCAUGUUCUAUCCAGUGUGUAUAGGUCUAUUAGGGGGAAUAUCCAGCUGGCCCAUGUUAUAUCCAGUGUGUAUAGGUCUAUUAGGGAGGAAUAUUCAGCUGGCCCAUGUUAGCAUGUUAGCAUGUUAUAUCCAGUGUGUAUAGCUCUAUUAGGGGGAAUAUCCAGCUGGCCCAUGUUCUAUCCAGUGUGUACAGCUCUAUUUGGGGGAAUAUCCAGCUGGCCCAUGUUAUAUCCAGUGUGUAUGGGUCUAUUAGGGGGAAUAUCCAGCUGGCCCAUGUUCUAUCCAGUGUGUAUAGGUCUAUUAGGGGGAAUACCCAGCUGGCCCAUGUUCUAUCCAGUGUGUAUAGGUCUAUUAGGGGAAAUAUCCAGCUGGCCCGGCCCAUGUUCUAUCCAGUGUGUAUAGGUCUAUUUGGGGGAAUAUCCAGCUGGCCCAUGUUAUAUCCAGUGUGUAUAGCUCUAUUAGGGGGAAUAUCCAGCUGGCCCAUGUUCUAUCCAGUGUGUAUAUGUCUAUUUGGGGGAAUAUCCAGCUGGCCCAUGUUAUAUCCAGUGUGUAUAGGUCUAUUAGGGGGAAUAUCCAGCUGGCCCAUGUUAUAUCCAGUGUGUAUAGGUCUAUUAGGGGGAAUAUCCAGCUGGCCCAUGUUAUAUCCAGUGUGUAUAGGUCUAUUAGGGGGAAUAUCCAGCUGGCCCAUGUUAUAUCCAGUGUGUAUAGGUCUAUUAGGGGGAAUAUCCAGCUGGCCCAUGUUCUAUCCAGUGUGUAUAGGUCUAUUAGGGAGGAAUAUCCAGCUGGCCCAUGUUAUAUCCAGUGUGUAUAGGUCUAUUAGGGGGAUUAUCCAGCUGGCCCAUGUUCUAUCCAGUGUGUAUAGGUCUAUUAGGGAGGAAUAUCCAGCUGGCCCAUGUUAUAUCCAGUGUGUAUAGGCCUAUUUGGGGGAAUAUCCAGCUGGCCCAUGUUCUAUCCAGUGUGUAUAGGUCUAUUAGGGGGAAUAUCCAGCUGGCCCAUGUUAUAUCCAGUGUGUAUAGGUCUAUUAGGGGGAAUAUCCAGCUGGCCCAUGUUAUAUCCAGUGUGUAUAGGUCUAUUAGGGGGAAUAUCCAGCUGGCCCAUGUUAUAUCCAGUGUGUAUAGGUCUAUUAGGGGGAAUAUCCAGCUGGCCCAUGUUAUAUCCAGUGUGUAUAGGUCUAUUAGGGGGAAUAUCCAGCUGGCCCAUGUUCUAUCCAGUGUGUAUAGGUCUAUUAGGGGGAAUAUCCAGCUGGCCCAUGUUAUAUCCAGUGUGUAUAGGUCUAUUAGGGAGGAAUAUCCAGCUGGCCCAUGUU
This is a long non-coding RNA of Oncorhynchus keta (chum salmon), 1756 nucleotides long. RefSeq lists it as uncharacterized. The record is from RefSeq and is a predicted model, not a curated record. The transcript has 3 exons. NCBI's taxonomy places the organism in Eukaryota, Metazoa, Chordata, Actinopteri, Salmoniformes, Salmonidae.